GAUGAACGCUGGCGGCGUGCCUAAUACAUGCAAGUCGAGCGAACAGACGAGGAGCUUGCUCCUCUGACGUUAGCGGCGGACGGGUGAGUAACACGUGGAUAACCUACCUAUAAGACUGGGAUAACUUCGGGAAACCGGAGCUAAUACCGGAUAAUAUAUUGAACCGCAUGGUUCAAUAGUGAAAGACGGUUUUGCUGUCACUUAUAGAUGGAUCCGCGCCGCAUUAGCUAGUUGGUAAGGUAACGGCUUACCAAGGCAACGAUGCGUAGCCGACCUGAGAGGGUGAUCGGCCACACUGGAACUGAGACACGGUCCAGACUCCUACGGGAGGCAGCAGUAGGGAAUCUUCCGCAAUGGGCGAAAGCCUGACGGAGCAACGCCGCGUGGGUGAUGAAGGUCCUCGGAUCGUAAAACUCUGUUAUUAGGGAAGAACAAAUGUGUAAGUAACUAUGCACGUCUUGACGGUACCUAAUCAGAAAGCCACGGCUAACUACGUG
This 497-nucleotide ribosomal RNA is filed under the name uncultured bacterium. RNAcentral's name for it is "partial 16S ribosomal RNA". It matches the Rfam family "Bacterial small subunit ribosomal RNA", at positions 28 to 507 of the family's 1533-position model. The record is from RNAcentral.